This 498-nucleotide ribosomal RNA is filed under the name uncultured bacterium. RNAcentral describes it as "partial 16S ribosomal RNA". It matches the Rfam family "Bacterial small subunit ribosomal RNA", at positions 28 to 508 of the family's 1533-position model. The record is from RNAcentral.
GAUGAACGCUGGCGGCGUGCCUAAUACAUGCAAGUCGAGCGAACAGGCGAGGAGCUUGCUCCUCUGACGUUAGCGGCGGACGGGUGAGUAACACGUGGAUAACCUACCUAUAAGACUGGGAUAACUUCGGGAAACCGGAGCUAAUACCGGAUAAUAUAUUGAACCGCAUGGUUCAAUAGUGAAAGACGGUUUUGCUGUCACUUAUAGAUGGAUCCGCGCCGCAUUAGCUAGUUGGUAAGGUAACGGCUUACCAAGGCGACGAUGCGUAGCCGACCUGAGAGGGUGGUCGGCCACACUGGAACUGAGACACGGUCCAGACUCCUACGGGAGGCAGCAGUAGGGAAUUCUCCGCAAUGGGCGAAAGCCUGACGGAGCAACGCCGCGUGAGUGAUGAAGGUCUUCCGAUCGUAAAACUCUGUUAUUAGGGAAGAACAAAUGUGUAAGUAAAUAUGCACGUCUUGACGGUAACUAAUCAGAAAGCCACGGGCAAGUACGGGC